CUAGAUUUCACUCUCCGUUUCCCUUUCGAAAUUUCAACCUGCACCCCGGAACUGGGUCGAAGAAAUAGCCUAGAUUUGUAGUAUCUGCACAUAAUUCGCAAUCGUCGUUUGAUUAUUUGUUGUUUGAUCUUUCGAUAAGAAUGAUCCGAUUCAUACUUCUGCAGAACAGGCAGGGAAAGACUCGUCUUGCCAAAUAUUACGUUCCUCUUGAGGAUUCCGAGAAGCACAAAGUCGAAUACGAGGUUCAUCGGCUGGUGGUUAACAGAGAUCCCAAGUUCACGAAUUUUGUUGAGUUCCGAACACACAAGAUCAUCUACAGGCGGUAUGCUGGGUUAUUUUUCUCACUGUGUGUUGAUAUAACAGAUAAUGAAUUGGCAUAUUUAGAGUGCAUCCAUUUAUUUGUGGAGAUAUUGGAUCAUUUCUUCAGCAAUGUUUGUGAGCUAGAUUUGGUAUUCAACUUUCACAAGGUUUAUUUGAUACUUGAUGAAUUCAUUCUUGCUGGGGAACUCCAAGAAACAAGCAAGAAGGCAAUCAUAGAGAGAAUGGGGGAAUUGGAGAAGCUCGAGUAAACACGUUCUGUAGUUAGAGCAUUUAGAGAUUUCAUUUUUCCUUGUUCUUCCGCCCAGCUUUGUUUUGUUCUGGUUCUGCAUUUAUUCGUUUGUUCAUUUGGUAAAACCAUUACUUCGCUUGUAAUAUUUGAAAAUCAAGGCGGAAAUUUCCACAUAUGCAUCUCCCUUGGUGUUUGGAACAAUGGUGCUAAUCAUCGAACUUUUUCAUAUCCUUCGUUGAUUAUUAAAGAAUAAAGUUUCG
This 810-nucleotide unclassified non-coding RNA is filed under the name Hevea brasiliensis (rubber tree). Lineage: Eukaryota; Viridiplantae; Streptophyta; Magnoliopsida; Malpighiales; Euphorbiaceae. The record is from RNAcentral.